UACGUAGGGUGCAAGCGUUAUCCGGAUUUAUUGGGCGUAAAGGGCUCGUAGGCGGUUCGUCGCGUCCGGUGUGAAAGUCCAUCGCUUAACGGUGGAUCCGCGCCGGGCACGGGCGGGCUUGAGUGCGGUAGGGGAGACUGGAAUUCCCGGUGUAACGGUGGAAUGUGUAGAUAUCGGGAAGAACACCAAUGGCGAAGGCAGGUCUCUGGGCCGUUACUGACGCUGAGGAGCGAAAGCGUGGGGAGCGAACAGG
Molecule: ribosomal RNA, 253 nt
Filed under: uncultured bacterium
Lineage: Bacteria
Description: partial 16S ribosomal RNA
Rfam family: Bacterial small subunit ribosomal RNA
Source: RNAcentral